GAGGUGUAUUAACAAUUAGAGCUGCUAACUCCUAUAACUAAAGAUAAAAUCCUUAGACCUCUUAUA
RNAcentral lists this transfer RNA (66 nucleotides) under Algyroides nigropunctatus. Its description in RNAcentral is "tRNA-Ser". The record is from RNAcentral. Lineage: Eukaryota; Metazoa; Chordata; Lepidosauria; Squamata; Lacertidae.